GACGAACGCUGGCGGCGUGCCUAAUAUAUGCAAGUUGAGCGAUGAAGAUUGGUGCUUGCACCAAUUUGAAGAGCAGCGAACGGGUGAGUAACGCGUGGGGAAUCUGCCUUUGAGCGGGGGACAACAUUUGGAAACGAAUGCUAAUACCGCAUAACAACUUUAAACAUAAGUUUUAAGUUUGAAAGAUGCAAUUGCAUCACUCAAAGAUGAUCCCGCGUUGUAUUAGCUAGUUGGUGAGGUAAAGGCUCACCAAGGCGAUGAUACAUAGCCGACCUGAGGGGGUGAUCGGCCACAUUGGGACUGAGACACGGCCCAAACUCCUACGGGAGGCAGCAGUAGGGAAUCUUCGGCAAUGGACGAAAGUCUGACCGAGCAACGCCGCGUGAGUGAAGAAGGGUUUCGGAUCGUAAAACUCUGUUGGUAGAGAAGAACGUUGGUGAGAGUGGAAAGCUCAUCAAGUGACGGUAACUACCCAGAAAGGGACGGCUAACUACGUG
This 497-nucleotide ribosomal RNA is filed under the name uncultured bacterium. RNAcentral describes it as "partial 16S ribosomal RNA". It matches the Rfam family "Bacterial small subunit ribosomal RNA", at positions 28 to 507 of the family's 1533-position model. The record is from RNAcentral.